This 441-nucleotide ribosomal RNA is filed under the name uncultured bacterium. RNAcentral's name for it is "partial 16S ribosomal RNA". It matches the Rfam family "Bacterial small subunit ribosomal RNA", at positions 338 to 795 of the family's 1533-position model. The record is from RNAcentral.
CCUACGGGGGACAACAGUGGGGAAUAUUGCACAAUGGGGGAAACCCUGAUGCAGCAACGCCGCGUGAAGGAAGACGGUUUUCGGAUUGUAAACUUCUGUUCUUAGUGAAGAAUAAUGACGGUAGCUAAGGAGCAAGCCACGGCUAACUACGUGCCAGCAGCCGCGGUAAUACGUAGGUGGCAAGCGUUGUCCGGAAUUACUGGGUGUAAAGGGAGCGCAGGCGGGAAGCCAAGUCAGCUGUGAAAACUACGGGCUUAACUUGUAGACUGCAGUUGAAACUGGUUUUCUUGAGUGAAGUAGAGGUAGGCGGAAUUCCUAGUGUAGCGGUGAAAUGCGUAGAUAUUAGGAGGAACACCAGUGGCGAAGGCGGCCUACUGGACGGUGACUGACGCUGAGGCUCGAAAGCGUGGGGAGCAAACAGGAUUAGAUACCCCUGUAGUC